RNAcentral lists this ribosomal RNA (254 nucleotides) under uncultured bacterium. RNAcentral describes it as "partial 16S ribosomal RNA". It matches the Rfam family "Bacterial small subunit ribosomal RNA", at positions 524 to 776 of the family's 1533-position model. The record is from RNAcentral.
UACGUAGGGUGCAAGCGUUGUCCGGAAUUAUUGGGCGUAAAGAGCUCGUAGGCGGUUUGUCGCGUCGAAUGUGAAAACCCGGGGCUCAACCCCGGGCCUGCAUUCGAUACGGGCAGACUAGAGUUCGGUAGGGGAGUCUGGAAUUCCUGGUGUAGCGGUGAAAUGCGCAGGAUAUCAGGAGGAACACCGGUGGCGAAGGCGGGACUCUGGGCCGAUACUGACGCUGAGGAGCGAAAGCGUGGGGAGCAAACAGG